RNAcentral lists this unclassified non-coding RNA (879 nucleotides) under Hevea brasiliensis (rubber tree). Lineage: Eukaryota; Viridiplantae; Streptophyta; Magnoliopsida; Malpighiales; Euphorbiaceae. The record is from RNAcentral.
AAUUAAGCCUCUUUGUUUUGAUCUUAUAAGUUUUUUUUUUCAUUUUCUUUUUAGAGUUGAAUUUUGUGUUGAGAUCUUGUACUUAGCUUGAAGUAGAAGGAAGAGGGCAGUUCCAAUUGAGUAACUCUUCAAUCAUUUGCAUUGCAAUUCUGUCUUCUUCAUCAAUUCCAUUCCCAUGGUCAUCAGCUUCCUGGCUUGUCAAUUCAGGCGACAGGGACGGGGACGGCAUCUCUUUCUUCCCUAGCUCAAUCCUCAUGACCCAAUUAGAGGUUGCUCGAGUGCCUGCACGCUUCUGCCAUACGCCGAUGUGAGCGUUGUCACUGUCGAGCCGCAGGCAUGUCAAUGAGGGAGAUGGAUUCUUGCAGCACUUUCUGAGCUUUGUGCUGAGUAGCUCUGAAAGUGCUUUUGGGGACAUUGAAGAAGAACCAUGGCCAUGGCUAGCUUCUUCAGAUUGGUCUUUAGAUGCAGGGAAAUUGGUCUUGGCGUUUUGGCCAUUCAUCAAAAUGGCUGCUUGAUCAUACGCUCGAGCUGCAUCCUCUGCUGUGUCAAAUGUCCCCAGCCACACCCUUCUCUUCAGCAGUGGGUGGCGAAUCUCUGACACCCAAGAGCCCCACUGCCGCUGCCUGACUCCUCUGAACUUCCUUGAAUAAACCAUAACUCUAGAGAGAGAUUCAGAGCCUGCUCAACCAUGAAAGAUCCACACAAAGACGCAGCUUCUUAACAACCAAAAUUAAAUGAUAGUCCUCCACAUUGCAAUUUCUCUUUCCCAUUCUGCAACUUUUCUUUUUUCUUCUUCCCUCUCCAAUGGCGGAUCGAAAUGGAAUGGAACUUCAAAUUUGUCUGCUACCCAAAGAGAAAGUAUCAUUAAAUUUUGCUUGA